Cyanistes caeruleus (blue tit) is the source of this 214-nucleotide non-coding RNA. NCBI's taxonomy places the organism in Eukaryota, Metazoa, Chordata, Aves, Passeriformes, Paridae. The record is from RefSeq and is a predicted model, not a curated record.
AGAGCUGGAGGCGGCGGCGGCGCGGCGACGUCUCGACGCCGUCCUGGAGCAGCUCCUGCAGCGCGGGCCCAGGGAGCCGCUGGAGGAGGAGCCUGGGAAAGCCCCCGGGGACCCCCCGGCCAAGGAGGCCUCGCCCAGCGCUCCGGGAAAAAGGUGAGGAGACAGAAUUCCCAAAAUUCCCACAAAAUUCCCUAAAAUUCCCACAAAAUUACCA